GCUCGGGUGGCGAAAUGGAAACCGCAGAUGACUUAAGAUCAUCCGCCCGCAAGGGCUUGAGAGUUCGAGUCUCUCCCCGAGCA
Molecule: transfer RNA, 83 nt
Filed under: bacterium
Lineage: Bacteria
Description: tRNA-Leu
Rfam family: tRNA
About the family: Transfer RNA (tRNA) molecules are approximately 80 nucleotides in length. Their secondary structure includes four short double-helical elements and three loops (D, anti-codon, and T loops). Further hydrogen bonds mediate the characteristic L-shaped molecular structure. tRNAs have two regions of fundamental functional importance: the anti-codon, which is responsible for specific mRNA codon recognition, and the 3' end, to which the tRNAs corresponding amino acid is attached (by aminoacyl-tRNA synthetases). tRNAs cope with the degeneracy of the genetic code in two manners: having more than one tRNA (with a specific anti-codon) for a particular amino acid; and 'wobble' base-pairing, i.e. permitting non-standard base-pairing at the 3rd anti-codon position.
Source: RNAcentral